Molecule: long non-coding RNA, 3211 nt
Filed under: Homo sapiens (human)
Lineage: Eukaryota; Metazoa; Chordata; Mammalia; Primates; Hominidae
Description: HSALNT0273040
Source: RNAcentral
AGAGGAAAUGACAAGAAUUGCAGCUAACUCUUUUGAGUUUUUUGUUUUGUUUGUUUGAGACAGAGUUUCGCUCUGUUACCCAAGCUGGAGUGCAAUGGCGCCAUCUCGGCUCACUGCAACCUUCUCCAUCUCCCGGGUUCAAGCGAUUCUCCUGCCUCAGCCUCCCGAGUAGCUGGGAUUGCAGGCGCAUGCCACUACGCCCGGCUAAUUUUUGUAUUUUUAGUAGAGAGGGGUUUCAACAUUUUGCCCAGGCUGGUUUCGAACUCCUGACCUCAAGUAAUCCACCUGUCUUAGCCGCCCAAAGUUACAGGUGUGAGCCAGGGUGCCUGGCCUCUUUUUUUUCCAGGAAAAAUCAAGUUUUUUGCUGGUGGGAAUGACCAUCAAACUGCAUGACCAUUUUGAUGAUGCAGCAGGGUGAGGGGAAGUUUGCGGAGCGAAGCCCCCAAGCAGGUCCGAGGGGACCGGACCUUGGGCACAGGAGAUGGGAGCACCCCUCCCCUGACCCCCACCUCAAUGAGACGCAGCAUCAGGAACAUUCCCCGGAGCGGGGCUGGAGGGUGCAGUCACAGACACAGAACAGCGGAAGUGGUUCAAACAUUUGUGGAAUAUUUCUUCUGAUUCCUCCAUUUUUUCAGUAAAAUAGGGAACAAAGCCAAUUAGCAGAGGUAAAAUGAGGGCCCAAAGGUGUAACCCGGGAGUGGGUGACUAAUGUUAGAUGGAUGGCAGGGUGGUGGGGAGGAGACUGGGUAGCCAGGAGGCCAGGCUUUUGGAAAGGAUCACCUAAGUCGCCUAGGGUCACGUGAGAUUGGAUUGGAGAGAGUAACAGUGGCUGGGAGCUGAAGCCUUCAAGGAACACAGGAGGUGGCCUGGGGAACCACAGAUGACUGAACCCCCGAUGGUUUAGCCCAAUGGCAUGAGAUUGGGCAAUGGUCUGGAUGGGACAAAGAGGACUGAAGACGCCUGCUUUACCUCUAGGCCUCGUGGUAGAGAAAAGACCCACUCCUGAGAGGGCUACAGGGGAAGCAGAGGCUUCAAGGGGCCCCAGCUUCCACUGGAGCAACAAGCAGGAAAUGUUUACAGAAGAGGUGGAGGUGAUCAGAGACCACUGAUGACUGUGAGUUCCAGGGGCCCUGAGAACAGGUUUCACGAUUGGACAGGAAGUUGAGUCAAAGGAAGGAAGGUAUGAAGCUGAGUGGAGAUUGGGUCGCCAAGGGUGAGGGAUCUUCUGGAGGGCCUGGGAUUCUCAUGGUGACUGUCAUCAAGAAUAAAGGGCAUCGUAAUAUUAGUCCCAAAGUUCUCAAGGUAGAGAGCAGAACCAGGCUCUGGGGGUCAGGAGGUGGGAAGCAGGGGUCUAUUGGGGGAAGCAGAAGUGCAAGAAGUAUGGAGAAUUCAUGGUGGUGGUGGUCUUUUUUUUUUUUUUUUUUUUUGAGACAGAGUCUUGCUCUUGUCGCCCAGGCUGGAGUGCAGUGGCACAAUCUCAGCUCACUGCAACCUCUGCCUCCUGGGUAUAAGCAAUUCUCCUGCCUCAGCCUCCCGAGUAGCUGGGAUUACAGAUGCCUGCCACCACACCUGGCUAAUUUUUGUAUUUUUUAGUAGAGACGGGGAUUCACCACGUUGGCCAGGCUGGUCUAGAACUCCUGACCUCAGGUGAUCAGCCCGCCUUGGCCUCCCAAAGUGCUAGGAUUACAGGCAGGAGCCACCGCACCCGGCCUCAUGGUAGUGGUCUUAAACCCUCUCCGAACUGCACUUUGUAUAGCAAGCAUUGCUUUUCUGUUUUCUUAGGUCAGAAAAAUGACAAACAAUCCAGGAAGGAAAUCAGCAAAUUAUUAUGUUUAUAAAAUAUUAUAAACAGGCAAUUAACAGGGAGAAAAACUCAGAAUGACCGUUCCCAUGAAAGUUCAUGCUUAUUAAUAAUAGAGAAAAUAUAACUUUAAGAGACACUUGUUGACACUUAUUAGACUGGCAAGGCUUUAAAAAACGUAAUACCACAUAGUGGGAGGUACUUGAAAACAGAAAUCUUAAACCUUGCUGAUGGGUGUGUAAACUGAUGCAAUGACUUUGGAGAGAAAUUUGUUAAUAACGGAGAUGAAAAUACUGAACAAACCAGUUCUUCCCUUCUCUAGCCAGCAGUUCUUCUCAGUUUGCACACUCACAUAUAUGCGCCAGGAGAUAGCUAACUAGCAGUAAGUCCAUGGCAGCAUUGCUUGAAACUGUCAAAUUGGAAAUGCCCAUGAAUAGGCAAGUGGACAAACUGGGAUACAGUCACACAUGGCAUACUAUAUGACAGGAGAAAUCAGUGAACUACGUCAACAAGCAUCCACCUGAUAGAUCUCAAAAUGAGUGCUGAAGAAAUGAAAAACAAAAGCCUAUCACUGAAGCUUGCAUACCACGAAUAAGAAUCCACAAAACAAUGAGUUGUAGCUGCAUAUAUAUGUAUCAAAAAUAUAAAAUAUGGAUAUAAAUGAUACACACUGACUGAUAAUGGUUUGGGUCUGUGUCCCUGCCCAAAUCUCAUGCUGAAUUGUAAUCUCCAGUGUUGGAGAAGGGGCCUGGUGGGAGGUGACUGGAUCAUGGGGGCAGUUUCUGGUGGUUUAAGAUCAUCCCCCUAAUUGUUGUCAUGGCAAUAGUGAGUGUUACUGUGAGAUCUGGUUGUUUAAAAAUGUAUAGCCCCUCCCCACUUUCUCUCUUCCUUCUGCUCCAGCCAUGUAAGACACACCUCCUUCCACUUCACCUUCUGCCAUGAUUGUAAGUUUCCUGAGGCCUCCCCCAAAAGCCGAGCAAAUGCCGGCACCACACUUCCCAUACAGCCUGCAGAACCAUAAGCCAAUUAAACUUCUUUUCUUUAUAAAUUACCCAGUCUUGGGUAUUUCUUCAUGGCAGUGCAAGAACAGACUAUUACACUGACUUUAGAUAUGGCUACCUCUUGAGGGAAGGAAUAGGAUAAGAGGGGGUACAAAGGAUUUCAACUAUACCUAAUAUUUUCUUUAAAAUAAAAGCUCUGAAAGAUAUAUAGCAAAAAUACAGUAUCUAUUAAAUCUGAGUGGUAAGUUCCUCAAAUUUGUUACAUUAACUUGUUAUUUUUAGGUAUGUUUGGAUUUUUUACAAACAUAGGUUUCUAGUUUCUCAAUCCAUGUGCCAGUUUUAGGAAAGGAAAGGGAGUACGAAUAGCGCUACAAGGUGAGGACACUCACUGUUACAGCGUCAUGCUUGC